This 234-nucleotide ribosomal RNA is filed under the name uncultured bacterium. RNAcentral describes it as "partial 16S ribosomal RNA". It matches the Rfam family "Bacterial small subunit ribosomal RNA", at positions 1268 to 1500 of the family's 1533-position model. The record is from RNAcentral.
CAAAUACCCUAAAAGACCAUCCCAGUUCGGAUUGCAGGCUGCAACCCGCCUGUAUGAAGUUGGAAUCGCUAGUAAUCGCGGAUCAGCAUGCCGCGGUGAAUACGUUCCCGGGCCUUGUACACACCGCCCGUCACACCAUGAGAGUCGGGAACACCCGAAGUCCGUAGCCUAACCGCAAGGGGGGCGCGGCCGAAGGUGGGUUCGAUAAUUGGGGUGAAGUCGUAACAAGGUAUC